This 554-nucleotide ribosomal RNA is filed under the name uncultured archaeon. RNAcentral describes it as "bacterial SSU rRNA". It matches the Rfam family "Archaeal small subunit ribosomal RNA", at positions 326 to 880 of the family's 1478-position model. The record is from RNAcentral.
CGGGGUGCACCAGGCGCGAAAACUUUACAAUGCUGGAAACAGCGAUAAGGGGACCUCGAGUGCCAGGUUACAAAUCUGGCUGUCGUGAUGCCUAAAAAGCAUUGCAUAGCAAGGGCCGGGCAAGACCGGUGCCAGCCGCCGCGGUAACACCGGCGGCUCGAGUGGUAACCGUUAUUAUUGGGUCUAAAGGGUCUGUAGCCGGCCGGAUAAGUCUCUUGGGAAAUCCAGCAGCUCAACUGUUGGGCUUUCAGGAGAUACUGUCUGGCUCGAGGCCGGGAGAGGUGAGAGGUACUUCAGGGGUAGGGGUGAAAUCUUGUAAUCCUUGAAGGACCACCAGUGGCGAAGGCGUCUCACCAGAACGGACCUGACGGCAAGGGACGAAAGCUAGGGGCACGAACCGGAUUAGAUACCCGGGUAGUCCUAGCCGUAAACGAUACUCGCUAGGUGUCGGCCACGGUGCGACCGUUGUCGGUGCCGUAGGGAAGCCGUGAAGCGAGCCACCUGGGAAGUACGGCCGCAAGGCUGAAACUUAAAGGAAUUGGCGGGGGAGCACA